GCCCGCUGAGCUCCUUCAAGCGACCAGCUCAGCACGCACCUCGCCAGGUCAGGGUCUCUGAGAGACUCAGGGUUUUCCCUUUAAGGGUCGGGGGUGCUGUAGGAAGAGCUCGGCGUGCAGGACGAACCACCUGCUCCAGUUUCUGGUCUGGAGGUUUGGGGUGCGGCCCUGAGGGAGGGCUCCCUGCUUACAGUCCCAGACCAUCCGAGAAUCAUUUGGCCUCGGGGCGCUGAUGGGGAAGAUGGGAAGAAAUGGACUCAGAUUUGAGCCAAGAAAGACGGACAGGAAAGAAAGAAUACGAAAGGAAAACGCACGCCACUGCGUGCCCAAGAGCCUUGGGAUAAAUGAAAUCAGACAAUUGUAUUAUUGAAAAGUCGGAGUAAUGAAGAUUUGGGGAGGAGCGCCUGGCACCUGUAUAAAUGUCUGCUGAAUGAACGACAGAGUGGUAGACAGAAUCAGAGAGCGGAGGCUCCUCUUGAAGCGAACGGGGCAGAAAGGAGUUAGAAGGGAAUUUCACAGCGUCCUCUGAACCCGGCCUGCGGAUAGCCGGAGGGAAGAUAGGGGCGGUAUUUCGAGGCUGGGUUCGGUGCGAGCUAGGAGAGUGGUUCCACGGAAGGGGCGUGGCCUCAGGGCCAUUAAUCCAGUCCCAGUUUCAUUUUGCUACUCCUCAGUCUAAACGGCUGGGCGCGGCCAGUGCGCCUGCUGAGCCUGGUGAGUUCGUUGCCGCGGUGAUGGGCUUGGUGGAGGCUUUCCAGGGGUGAAGAGGCGGGGCGCUGCUGUAGUCGCCAUGGUGAUAGCAGCCGAGGACAGUUUCUGUGCGGAGUGCCUUGGGGACGCGGGAUACCGGUGGGGGUAAGCAGCCGAGUGACGAAACAAAGGAGGUGGGGCCUGAGGAGAGAAUGCUACAGUCAGGGCUAUGGGCGGGGCAAACAAGGGGGCGGGGAGCCAAGUUCUGUUCGCUGAGCAGCUAGACCAGGCGGUCUGGAGUGGAACUAGACAGCAGCGAUCUUUAACCCGCAUAUAAAUGAAUGAAAGAAAAAAAAAAAAAAAAAAAGACUUGGUUCCUGAGGGAGUUGGGAUGGCUUGUUGGAUGGAUGAAUGAACGGAUAAGUACCUGGCCCUCACUCACUUGUGACAGCUGGGAGGGAAACACCUGACCCUCUCGGGGGAGUCGAGCAAAUCCUCAGCCCAAUCACCAAGCCCUGAGCCUACUCCCGCAACUCACACUGAAAGCAGCGCAGGGCGAGCCCGGGCCCAGCCCAGGGCCCACCUCUCCUUCCCAGGUUUCCUGCCCAGGUGUUAAUCCUUCUUUGCCCCAGCCUCCAUCCUCUCUCCCCGUGUACCCAGCUCCUCGGGGGCGCCUGGGCGUCCAGACCUUGCCUGGUGCCCAGUAAGGCAAGGUCCAGAGUUCCAGCAGAUGUGGGGUCUGCAUCUCGGCUGUUCUUCUCCUGGGACUGUUGGAACCCUGCUAUAUAGGGAGGCUAACUGUCCUGGUGGAUCUUGGAAGGUGAAGUUCAGAACCAUCCAGCUGGAUCUACAGCUUCAUGCUCCACACUCCCCACCCUGUUUGCCCCCUGGGAUGGGACAGAGGAACAGAGUGCCAGUAUCAACUCUCCAGUGUUUGCUAAAGGUGGAGCAUUCUGGAGCUGUGGCCACCUCUUCUCUUUUGACCCCAAUUAUCAGGUAUAUCACCUGACAAGUCUCAGAUCACCCUUCCAGUGGAGACUCAGUAUGCCCCCACUGAAGGAGCUGGUGAGCUGGUGAGGGCAGACAGCCUCUGCCCAGAGACUGAGGAGGAGCUUCAUGCCCUGGGGUUCCAGGAGACACUGAUAUUAGCCAGAAGCUAUCUAGGAUAUCAGAACAUUGUUGCUUGCCCACGUUGAGCUUGUUCAAAACAGAGGGCCAAGGAGGGUAACCCUGGGAGCGUUUCAGCUAAAAGAGGUUUCCCAAGAAGAAGGUGGCCAGGCAACAAACUGACAGGUGGGAGGAAAACUCAUUCUGUUCCAUGAAGUCUGAGGAUUGGAAAUAGGACAGAAGUUACAGGAAGCCAAUUUCCUUGGGUUCACCUUAGGGAUUUUCUUCUAAUAGCGUCCAGAAAGGUGAAGUGUGGCUCUGGGAAGCCUCAGUCCCUGGCAGGCCCUGUCACUGAACUGCAACAGAUGCGUGAAAGCGACAAAGGCACGGUGAAGAGGUGUGUAGGGUUUGCCGCAGAAGACAUGGGGAGUGGGCUGUUCCUCACUCCCCCUUGGAACAGCAAGAGCUGAGUAAGGAAAACUGGUGAUACUUAAGGUGAAGCCAUGAAGGUUGGAGCUGGAAAUCUGUAGAAGAGCCAAGUAGGGGAAAUCAGGUACUAGAAAACACUUUGUAAGUGAAAGCUCUGGAGCUCUUAGCAAAGAGGGGGCAACCGUGAGCUCCUACAGUGGCUGCAGGGUUAUGCAGGAAGGACUGGGGCGCAGGCUAGGGAGGCUGCACGUGUGAUACUACUAGACACACUAGCCAGUGGGGAGGCUUGGGGACCCACUGCAUGAGGAUAGCUCAGGUUGGGGGCUGGAGGCCUGGGAGAACAGCAGGGAUGGGGAGGGUUAAGUUGGCCGGCUGGAGUCAGGUUCCCCAAAGCCCGGCUCUUUGCAGCUUCAGCUGUCACCACUACUGGCCCCAAGCUCCUGGACACUUGGAAAGUCACACAAUUAGCCAGCCUGUAGAAAAAAUACCUUUUUAUUAAUUAUUAGGAAUCAUCCAUUCACUGAAUGCGGGGUAUAUGUUGGGGAAGGUUAGGUACUGCCAGAUGGAUGAGGGGAAACGUGCAAUAGGGCAGUGAAAAGGGGGACAGCCCCCCACUUUCCACAAACUAUAAAUAGCAAUGU
Lynx canadensis (Canada lynx) is the source of this 2864-nucleotide long non-coding RNA. RefSeq lists it as uncharacterized. The transcript has 2 exons. The record is from RefSeq and is a predicted model, not a curated record. Lineage: Eukaryota; Metazoa; Chordata; Mammalia; Carnivora; Felidae.